This 274-nucleotide small nuclear RNA is filed under the name Colius striatus (speckled mousebird). RNAcentral describes it as "7SK RNA". It matches the Rfam family "7SK RNA". Rfam says of the family: 7SK was discovered as an abundant small nuclear RNA in the mid-70s but a possible function has only recently been suggested. Two independent studies have found that 7SK RNA binds the CDK9/cyclin T complex (known as elongation factor P-TEFb). The record is from Rfam by way of RNAcentral. Lineage: Eukaryota; Metazoa; Chordata; Aves; Coliiformes; Coliidae.
GGAUGUGAGGGCGAUCUGGCUGCGACAUCUGUCACCCCAUUGAUUGCCAGGGUUUAUUUGGCUGAUCUGGCUGGCUAGACAGGUGUCCCCUUCCUCCCUCAUGGCUUUAUGUGUGUCCCUCCCAAAGUUGUGCGCUCAGUUGAAGAGGACAACCCUCCCCAAUAGAGACGUACUGUUCCCCUGCUAGAACCUCUAAACAAGCUCAAGGUUAUGAAUUAGUAUAAACUAAAUAAUUUUUAAAGAAAGCUUUCUGAAGUGGGAUUUUUUCUUCUUA